CUGAUCUUCAGCGGAGGGCUCAACAGCUUUCCGUUGAGUUUAUUUCACCGAUGGAGUUAACUAGUAAAUCCGCUGGCCUGAUUGGGUGGCACCGUACAAGUGGACAAAGGCUGCCGAUUCCGCAUAUUGUACCUGAGAAGGUUCCAAAUUUUUCCCAACAUCGGGAAAACGGAUAACGUAGCAGUCGGUUCGACCAGAUAUAGUCGUCAAGACAUCAGCGUCGGUUCCUGUAAUUUGAACAUAUUACCAGGUCCUUUUGCAUCAAAAAUGGCGAAUCCUAAUGUCUAUCAAUGGAGAGUUUCGCUAUUGACUGACUGGACUUUAAUCGUCUUUGGGAUCAGGAGCGGGACCUUUGGUGACCAUUUUCAUGCACGACGACUCUUCGUGCUUGUAAAGAUAGGAUUUGAGAGCGAAAGCUUUGCCGCAACGUUGGCACGUGAACGGCUUCAAAUUGGAAUGAGUCUGGAUGUGGGCUCGUAGGUUGGAUUUGUCAGCAAACGCUUUCUCACAGAUUUGACAGCCAUGGCCUGGAAAAUGAUUUACCGCAGUAAGGACACUUGCAACCCUGGCUGUGAGUGCGGACGUGCAUUGAGAAAGCCGGAACUGAAACGUAAACUUUGUCGCAAUGAGGACAGCGUCUCGCCUAAAAACCAAAAUCAGUAAUGAUUAGAAUGUUGGAAGAAGUGCUGUAGCGCUUGCCACAAUCGGGACAUUCAUGUCCGUCUGGCCCUGUGUGACUAUCGCCACUGUUGCUGCUAUUGCUAGCACUUGGCCCUUUCACAACGACAGACACGGACUUGCACGAAGUGACAUCAUCAGGCGACCAGCAAGAAUCUGUGGCAUCCAAUUCAUCGACAUCUUCGUCAUCGUCUUCGUCGUCUUCAGCUUCGGAUGAAGCGGCCCUGCUGGAUUGCGGUGAUUUCUUGCGCAGGCCGAGAUUAAUGGUGAGAUGAGUCUCGGAAGGCGUUGGCGAUGGUGACGGUGUUAAAAUGCGGACUUCGCUCGACGUGGCGGUUGUUGCUGGAUCGCGGCUCAAAUCCAGCGGUUUAUCCAGCACCGGCGUUGAAUGACUGGAGCAGCUGGACAUGUCCAGCAUUUUGACAACUGGGCUUUUCAAAGCUCGUGCCAUCACCAAGCCUUGCUGUUGAUGGCGCCAGCGUUCCAGCACAGAACGGAAUUCGCUCCCGCCUGAAGUAGCCAGACUGACUUCAGCUAACUGGAACAAGUUGUACAUCUCUUCGGGAAUCGUAGUGCCGUGGUGCUGGAGGCGGCCAUCCGGUGUCAUAAUACUACCACUUCCGAUGACGGGUGAAAUGCGGGCGGAUUGCGGUCGUCCAGGUGAUUUUAGCUCGGCUACAGUUCCUUGGCCAGGCGACAGAGGGAACGCCGGAUAGUUUUGCGGGUUGCUGUUUGCCUUCCUAUGUUGUUGCUGAAUGUAACGUUGUGGUUGCUGGACUGGUUUGACCACGGACACAACAGCAGCAACGUCAUCUUUACCAUUCCGGAGCGAUGAUGCAAUCGAUGCUGCCUCUUCUGUCGUUAAAAAAAUCAACAAAUUGAGUGACGAUUGAUUGCAAGCAUGUCGCCGCAAAAUCAGUUUCAAACUUCCAAUCCGGAAUUUGGACAUUGGAUUCCGAAGAAUCGACGACAGUCGAGUCUUGAAAAAAAAUCCCUCUCUCUCUCUCUCGCUGUCUUGCUCGUAUACGUCAGCAGGAAGGAACCUGGAACGCAACGCAAGAGAGGAACAAGUUUCCCCUCAUAUACACACAUCCACCCUAUUUGCCUGUGUGCUGUAUAGCUUUUUUCGGUUGAUCCAGGCAAGACAUCUGCGCCGGAUCUUGAAAGAAGCGUGUGUGUGUAUUUUCACCGUAACACGAGCCACCCCCCCUAUUGCUGCUCUCAGGGAAAAGGAAAGAUCAAAGUCACCCCUUUUUCGCACUGAAGAAAAACUCGUACAUUACCCAAUGCGAGUGUAAUAGCGAAGUGUGCACAGUUACGCAGGAUGUUAUGACAGCGAAAAUGUAUGGAGGGCUUCGUGACUUAUAAGGUCGGAGUGAAGCAAACGAAAAUGAAUUGGAAAAUUCAAUUUGAAGUUCACUGCAGCCAGCAACAACGGCAUCGAUCUCCUGGAGCUUCCAUCUAUUUAAGCAAACCAGGAAAACCAAACUUCCCAAAUCAUAUGGUCUAACAAUGCCACGAAGGAUCAAGCCUCUUUUUCAAGGCUAAACAUUUAAGAGAUGCACUAGCCUGCCUUGAUGUCUAAUAUUAGAUGGGGUUCAAGAAAAAUAUAACGGAAUGAUGAUAAGAAAUAAUGGCGUUCCGUCCGUAGGAGUUUUCGAAGACACGCGCGACGUCACCAUAUGCUGCGGAUGGAAACGGGUGGCAGUGAGGAGGAGCCUUGAAAAGAACUACAGGGAUGGCUGCCAAGUUCCAAAAAAGAACAACAAAAAUCAUCAAGGGGAAACUGAACUGAUGAGCGGAGCAUAAAGUUCUUCGCAAGGGAGUAGAUGAACAUUCCAAGCGAGCCUUCAGUAAAGGAAUUCUACGAAAAUAAUAAAAAGCCGCCACUUCCGCACGAGCACGCACCGACCUCCGCACUCCGUCUGUGGGCUCUCCAAAAACAGAACUCCCUCUUCUUUUUUUUUUUCUUUUUUUUUUAAUGAAUGGAAAUCUACUUUGCACUAUAAGAUGUAUACGUACAACUGUCACAACCCUUUCUUCCCCCCCUCGAGCCACCGAAACCUGGAGCAUUGUCUUUAUAUUCAGCCGCCGCACGCGCAACUGUUUUCAAACGAGAAUAGCUGCUGUUUGCAGAAAUGGAAACCGCGUGUCAAAGA
Molecule: long non-coding RNA, 2837 nt
Organism: Daphnia magna
Lineage: Eukaryota; Metazoa; Arthropoda; Branchiopoda; Diplostraca; Daphniidae
Exons: 14
Source: RefSeq, a predicted model, not a curated record